Molecule: long non-coding RNA, 334 nt
Filed under: Urocitellus parryii (Arctic ground squirrel)
Lineage: Eukaryota; Metazoa; Chordata; Mammalia; Rodentia; Sciuridae
Description: lncRNA (ENSUPAG00010014444.1)
Source: RNAcentral
UAGGUACGUAGACAAGAAGAUGAGGAGCAUAGUGUAAUUAGUUUGGAAUAUUUAAUAUCAUUUGAAACACUUGAAGAAAAAAAAAUCACCUCAUAUAUAAAGCAGAAAUUUUCCGUGCAAAUUUUAUUAUGAAAUAAGUUUUAGGGCUAGAAACAAAUAUCAAAGCAGAAAUAUACAAAAAUAUGCAACCCAAGAAAGAGAACAAGAGAAUGGUUCAAGAAGAUCUGUCUUCUUACAUCAUGACGUUAAAAUCAAAGCUUGCCAUUUUAUAAUCUGAGAAGAUGUGAAAUUUUUUAUGUGUAAUGGAAAAUAAUCCAACAUAACUUGAUGUGGU